This 427-nucleotide ribosomal RNA is filed under the name uncultured bacterium. Its description in RNAcentral is "partial 16S ribosomal RNA". It matches the Rfam family "Bacterial small subunit ribosomal RNA", at positions 355 to 774 of the family's 1533-position model. The record is from RNAcentral.
UGGGGAAUAUUGGACAAUGGGCGAAAGCCUGAUCCAGCCAUGCCGCGUGUGUGAAGAAGGUCUUCGGAUUGUAAAGCACUUUAAGUUGGGAGGAAGGGCAUUAACCUAACACGUUAGUGUUUUGACGUUACCGACAGAAUAAGCACCGGCUAACUCUGUGCCAGCAGCCGCGGUAAUACAGAGGGUGCAAGCGUUAAUCGGAAUUACUGGGCGUAAAGCGCGCGUAGGUGGUUUGUUAAGUUGGAUGUGAAAUCCCCGGGCUCAACCUGGGAACUGCAUUUAAAACUGACUGACUAGAGUAUGGUAGAGGGUGGUGGAAUUUCCUGUGUAGCGGUGAAAUGCGUAGAUAUAGGAAGGAACACCAGUGGCGAAGGCGACCACCUGGACUAAUACUGGCACUGAGGUGCGAAAGCGUGGGGAGCAAACA